AUUGAACGCUGGCGGCAGGCCUAACACAUGCAAGUCGAGCGGAUGAAGGGAGCUUGCUCCUGGAUUCAGCGGCGGACGGGUGAGUAAUGCCUAGGAAUCUGCCUGGUAGUGGGGGAUAACGUCCGGAAACGGGCGCUAAUACCGCAUACGUCCUGAGGGAGAAAGUGGGGGAUCUUCGGACCUCACGCUAUCAGAUGAGCCUAGGUCGGAUUAGCUAGUUGGUGGGGUAAAGGCCUACCAAGGCGACGAUCCGUAACUGGUCUGAGAGGAUGAUCAGUCACACUGGAACUGAGACACGGUCCAGACUCCUACGGGAGGCAGCAGUGGGGAAUAUUGGACAACGGGCGAAAGCCUGAUCCAGCCAUGCCGCGUGUGUGACGAAGGUCUUCCGAUUGUAAAGCACUUUAAGUUGGGAGGAAGGGCAGUAAGUUAAUACCUUGCUGUUUUGACGUUACCAACAGAAUAAGCACCGGCUAACUUCGUG
This 484-nucleotide ribosomal RNA is filed under the name uncultured bacterium. RNAcentral describes it as "partial 16S ribosomal RNA". It matches the Rfam family "Bacterial small subunit ribosomal RNA", at positions 30 to 507 of the family's 1533-position model. The record is from RNAcentral.